Molecule: ribosomal RNA, 1592 nt
Filed under: Escherichia coli
Lineage: Bacteria; Pseudomonadati; Pseudomonadota; Gammaproteobacteria; Enterobacterales; Enterobacteriaceae
Description: partial 23S ribosomal RNA
Rfam family: Bacterial large subunit ribosomal RNA
Source: RNAcentral
UGGAAGCGUCUGGAAAGGCGCGCGAUACAGGGUGACAGCCCCGUACACAAAAAUGCACAUGCUGUGAGCUCGAUGAGUAGGGCGGGACACGUGGUAUCCUGUCUGAAUAUGGGGGGACCAUCCUCCAAGGCUAAAUACUCCUGACUGACCGAUAGUGAACCAGUACCGUGAGGGAAAGGCGAAAAGAACCCCGGCGAGGGGAGUGAAAAAGAACCUGAAACCGUGUACGUACAAGCAGUGGGAGCACGCUUAGGCGUGUGACUGCGUACCUUUUGUAUAAUGGGUCAGCGACUUAUAUUCUGUAGCAAGGUUAACCGAAUAGGGGAGCCGAAGGGAAACCGAGUCUUAACUGGGCGUUAAGUUGCAGGGUAUAGACCCGAAACCCGGUGAUCUAGCCAUGGGCAGGUUGAAGGUUGGGUAACACUAACUGGAGGACCGAACCGACUAAUGUUGAAAAAUUAGCGGAUGACUUGUGGCUGGGGGUGAAAGGCCAAUCAAACCGGGAGAUAGCUGGUUCUCCCCGAAAGCUAUUUAGGUAGCGCCUCGUGAAUUCAUCUCCGGGGGUAGAGCACUGUUUCGGCAAGGGGGUCAUCCCGACUUACCAACCCGAUGCAAACUGCGAAUACCGGAGAAUGUUAUCACGGGAGACACACGGCGGGUGCUAACGUCCGUCGUGAAGAGGGAAACAACCCAGACCGCCAGCUAAGGUCCCAAAGUCAUGGUUAAGUGGGAAACGAUGUGGGAAGGCCCAGACAGCCAGGAUGUUGGCUUAGAAGCAGCCAUCAUUUAAAGAAAGCGUAAUAGCUCACUGGUCGAGUCGGCCUGCGCGGAAGAUGUAACGGGGCUAAACCAUGCACCGAAGCUGCGGCAGCGACGCUGAUGCGUUGUUGGGUAGGGGAGCGUUCUGUAAGCCUGCGAAGGUGUGCUGUGAGGCAUGCUGGAGGUAUCAGAAGUGCGAAUGCUGACAUAAGUAACGAUAAAGCGGGUGAAAAGCCCGCUCGCCGGAAGACCAAGGGUUCCUGUCCAACGUUAAUCGGGGCAGGGUGAGUCGACCCCUAAGGCGAGGCCGAAAGGCGUAGUCGAUGGGAAACAGGUUAAUAUUCCUGUACUUGGUGUUACUGCGAAGGGGGGACGGAGAAGGCUAUGUUGGCCGGGCGACGGUUGUCCCGGUUUAAGCGUGUAGGCUGGUUUUCCAGGCAAAUCCGGAAAAUCAAGGCUGAGGCGUGAUGACGAGGCACUACGGUGCUGAAGCAACAAAUGCCCUGCUUCCAGGAAAAGCCUCUAAGCAUCAGGUAACAUCAAAUCGUACCCCAAACCGACACAGGUGGUCAGGUAGAGAAUACCAAGGCGCUUGAGAGAACUCGGGUGAAGGAACUAGGCAAAAUGGUGCCGUAACUUCGGGAGAAGGCACGCUGAUAUGUAGGUGAAGUCCCUCGCGGAUGGAGCUGAAAUCAGUCGAAGAUACCAGCUGGCUGCAACUGUUUAUUAAAAACACAGCACUGUGCAAACACGAAAGUGGACGUAUACGGUGUGACGCCUGCCCGGUGCCGGAAGGUUAAUUGAUGGGGUCAGCGCAAGCGAAGCUCUUGAUC